Molecule: ribosomal RNA, 253 nt
Filed under: uncultured bacterium
Lineage: Bacteria
Description: partial 16S ribosomal RNA
Rfam family: Bacterial small subunit ribosomal RNA
Source: RNAcentral
UACGUAGGGCGCAAGCGUUGUCCGGAAUUAUUGGGCGUAAAGAGCUCGUAGGCGGUUUGUCGCGUCUGUCGUGAAAGCCCACGGCUUAACUGUGGGUCUGCGGUGGAUACGGGCAGACUAGAGGCAGGUAGGGGAGAAUGGAAUUCCCGGUGUAGCGGUGAAAUGCGCAGAUAUCGGGAGGAACACCGGUGGCGAAGGCGGUUCUCUGGGCAUUACCUGACGCUCAUGCACGAAAGCGUGGGGAGCAAACAGG